Molecule: ribosomal RNA, 301 nt
Filed under: uncultured bacterium
Lineage: Bacteria
Description: partial 16S ribosomal RNA
Rfam family: Bacterial small subunit ribosomal RNA
Source: RNAcentral
CAGUAGCCACGGUAAUACGGAGGGUGCAAGCGUUAAUCGGAAUUACUGGGCGUAAAGCGCACGCAGGCGGUUUGUUAAGUCAGAUGUGAAAUCCCCGAGCUUAACUUGGGAACUGCAUUUGAAACUGGCAAGCUAGAGUCUUGUAGAGGGGGGUAGAAUUCCAGGUGUAGCGGUGAAAUGCGUAGAGAUCUGGAGGAAUACCGGUGUCGAAGGCGGCCCCCUGGACAAAGACUGACGCUCAGGUGCGAAAGCGUGGGGAGCAAACAGGAUUAGAUACCCCAGUAGUCCCUGUCUCUUAUAC